UACGAAGGUCCCAAGCGUUGUUCGGAAUCACUGGGCGUAAAGGGAGCGUAGGCGGCGUGGUAAGUCAGAUGUGAAAUCCCGGGGCUCAACCCCGGAACUGCAUCCGAUACUGCCAUGCUAGAGGAUUGGAGAGGUAGCUGGAAUUCUUGGCGUAGCAGUGAAAUGCGUAGAGAUCAAGAGGAACACUCGUGGCGAAAGCGAGCUACUGGACAAUUCCUGACGCUGAGGCUCGAAGGCUAGGGUAGCGAAAGGG
RNAcentral lists this ribosomal RNA (253 nucleotides) under uncultured bacterium. RNAcentral describes it as "partial 16S ribosomal RNA". It matches the Rfam family "Bacterial small subunit ribosomal RNA", at positions 524 to 776 of the family's 1533-position model. The record is from RNAcentral.